GAUGAACGCUGGCGGAGUGCCUAACACAUGCAAGUCGAGCGGCAGCGCGAGUAGUUUACUACUUGGCGGCGAGCGGCGGACGGCUGAGUAACGCGUGGGAACAUGCCCCAAAGUGAGGAAUAACUGCCCGAAAGGGUAGCUAAUGCCGCAUACGAUCUUCGGAUUAAAGGAUUUAUCCGCUUUGGGAGUGGCCUGCGUACGAUUAGAUAGUUGGUGAGGUAAUGGCUCACCAAGUCUACGAUCGUUAACUGGUUUGAGAGGAUGAUCAGUCAGACUGGAACUGAGACACGGUCCAGACUCCUACGGGAGGCAGCAGUGAGGAAUCUUCCACAAUGGACGAAAGUCUGAUGGAGCAACUCCGCGUGCAGGAUGAAGGCCUUCGGGUCGUAAACUGCUUUAUGAGUGAAGAAUAUGACGGUAACUCAUG
RNAcentral lists this ribosomal RNA (427 nucleotides) under uncultured bacterium. Its description in RNAcentral is "bacterial SSU rRNA". It matches the Rfam family "Bacterial small subunit ribosomal RNA", at positions 28 to 484 of the family's 1533-position model. The record is from RNAcentral.